AUGAAAUUUUCAUAUACGGCUUUUAGAGGGGGACUCGGGUUAGUUACCUAUCUCAAUAAAGUAUAUGAUUGGUUUGAGGAACGUCUUGAAAUUCAGGCAAUUGCAGAUGAUAUAACUAGUAAAUAUGCUACUCCCCAUGUCAACAUAUUUUACUUUAGCUACUUUAAUAGAUUAGCCUAUUACACGGAAUUCGCGAUUAUUCUAUUUCCUUAUGCUCGCAAUGUAUAG
RNAcentral lists this ribosomal RNA (228 nucleotides) under Triticum aestivum (bread wheat). RNAcentral describes it as "partial small subunit ribosomal RNA". The record is from RNAcentral. Lineage: Eukaryota; Viridiplantae; Streptophyta; Magnoliopsida; Poales; Poaceae.